UGGGGAAUAUUGGACAAUAGGCGAAAGCCUGAUCCAGCCAUGCCGCGUGUGUGAAGAAGGUCUUCGGAUUGUAAAGCACUUUAAGUUGGGAGGAAGGGCAGUAAGCGAAUACCUUGCUGUUUUGACGUUACCGACAGAAUAAGCACCGGCUAACUCUGUGCCAGCAGCCGCGGUAAUACAGAGGGUGCAAGCGUUAAUCGGAAUUACUGGGCGUAAAGCGCGCGUAGGUGGUUCGUUAAGUUGAAUGUGAAAGCCCCGGGCUCAACCUGGGAACUGCAUCCAACACUGGCGAGCUAGAGUAGGGCAGAGGGUGGUGGAAUUUCCUGUGUAGCGGUGAAAUGCGUAGAUAUAGGAAGGAACACCAGUGGCGAAGGCGACCACCUGGGCUCAUACUGACACUGAGGUGCGAAAGCGUGGGGAGCAAACAGG
Molecule: ribosomal RNA, 429 nt
Filed under: Pseudomonadota bacterium
Lineage: Bacteria; Pseudomonadati; Pseudomonadota
Description: Proteobacteria bacterium partial 16S ribosomal RNA
Rfam family: Bacterial small subunit ribosomal RNA
Source: RNAcentral